AUUCCAGCUCCAAUAGCGUAUAUUAAAGUUGUUGUGGUUAAAAGCUCGUAGUUGGAUUUCGACGGGUAUAGGUUGGUUUGAAUUGCUUCAAUACUGACUUUUUUACCCGUGUGUUUUGCCAGAAUUUAACGGGUGAUCUUCGCCGAUUGUCUGUUAGAACUGGCAGGUUUACUUUGAAAAAAUUAGAGUGCUCAAAGCAAGCUUGAUUGCUUGAAUAUUCGUGCAUGGAAUAAUAGAAUAGGAAGUCGUUUCUAUUUUGUUGGUUUUCGGAAAUCGACUUAAUGAUUAAUAGGGACAGUCGGGGGCAUUUGUAUUCAAACGACAGAGGUGAAAUUCUUGGACCGUUUGAAGACAAACUACUGCGAAAGCAUUUGCCAAGAAUGUUUUCAUUA
RNAcentral lists this ribosomal RNA (392 nucleotides) under Temora sp. RNAcentral describes it as "partial small subunit ribosomal RNA". It matches the Rfam family "Eukaryotic small subunit ribosomal RNA", at positions 582 to 975 of the family's 1831-position model. The record is from RNAcentral. Lineage: Eukaryota; Metazoa; Arthropoda; Copepoda; Calanoida; Temoridae.